GUCUACGGCCAUACCACCCUGAAUGCGCCCAAUCUCGUCUGAUCUCGGAAGCUAAGCAGGGUCGGGCCUGGUUAGUACUUGGAUGGGAAAAUGUUCUGGGAUUUGCCAGUCGUAUUUC
Molecule: ribosomal RNA, 118 nt
Filed under: Chinchilla lanigera (long-tailed chinchilla)
Lineage: Eukaryota; Metazoa; Chordata; Mammalia; Rodentia; Chinchillidae
Source: RNAcentral